Molecule: ribosomal RNA, 468 nt
Filed under: uncultured bacterium
Lineage: Bacteria
Description: partial 16S ribosomal RNA
Rfam family: Bacterial small subunit ribosomal RNA
Source: RNAcentral
GAUGAACGCUGGCGGCGUGCUUAACACAUGCAAGUCGAACGGAAAGGCCCAAGCUUGCUUGGGUACUCGAGUGGCGAACGGGUGAGUAACACGUGGGUGAUCUGCCCUGCACUUCGGGAUAAGCCUGGGAAACUGGGUCUAAUACCGGAUAGGACCACUUCUUGGAUGUUGUGGUGGAAAGUUUUCUCGGUGUGGGAUGAGCUCGCGGCCUAUCAACUUGUUGGUGGGGUAAUGGCCUACCAAGGCGUCGACGGGUAGCCGGCCUGAGAGGGUGUACGGCCACAUUGGGACUGGGAUACGGCCCAGACUCCUACGGGAGGCAGCAGUGGGGAAUAUUGCACAAUGGGCGCAAGCCUGAUGCAGCGACGCCGCGUGGGGGAUGACGGCCUUCGGGUUGUAAACUCCUUUCGCUAGGGACGAAGCGUUUUUGUGACGGUACCUGGAGAAGAAGCACCGGCUAACUACGUG